AGCAGCCGCGGUAAUUCCAGCUCCAAUAGCGUAUAUUAAAGUUGUUGCAGUUAAAAAGCUCGUAGUUGAAUUUCGGGGUCAGUAGGUCGGUCGUGCCACUGGUAUGAACUGGUCUCACUGAUUCCUCCCUCUUGUAGAACCGUGAUGCCAUUAAUUUGGUGUUGCGGGGAAACAGGACUGUUAACUUUGAAAAAAUUAGAGUGUUUAAAGCAGGCAAGCGCUUGAAUACAUUAGCAUGGAAUAAUGAAAUAGGGCGUUUGAUCCUAUUUUGUUGGUUUCUAGGAUUGACGUAAUGAUUAAUAGGGAUAGUUGGGGGCAUUAGUAUUCAAUUGUCAGAGGUGAAAUUCUUGGAUUUAUUGAAGACUAACUACUGCGAAAGCAUUUGCCAAGGAUGUUUUCAUUAAUCAAGAACGAAAGUUAGGGGAUCGAAGACGAUCAGAUACCGUCGUAGUCUUAACCAUAAACUAUGCCGACUAGGGAUCGGAUGAUGUUAAUUUUUUAAUGACUUAUUCGGCGCCUU
RNAcentral lists this ribosomal RNA (520 nucleotides) under uncultured Glomus. Its description in RNAcentral is "SSU rRNA". It matches the Rfam family "Eukaryotic small subunit ribosomal RNA", at positions 569 to 1089 of the family's 1831-position model. Lineage: Eukaryota; Fungi; Glomeromycota; Glomeromycetes; Glomerales; Glomeraceae. The record is from RNAcentral.